RNAcentral lists this ribosomal RNA (270 nucleotides) under uncultured archaeon. Its description in RNAcentral is "partial 16S ribosomal RNA". It matches the Rfam family "Archaeal small subunit ribosomal RNA", at positions 477 to 747 of the family's 1478-position model. The record is from RNAcentral.
CAGCACCUCAAGUGGUCAGGAUGAUUAUUGGGCCUAAAGCAUCCGUAGUCGGCUCUGUAAGUUUUCGGUUAAAUCUGUAUGCUCAACAUACAGGCUGCCGGGAAUACUGCAGAGCUAGGGAGUGGGAGAGGUAGACGGUACUCGGUAGGAAGGGGUAAAAUCCUUUGAUCUAUUGAUGACCACCUGUGGCGAAGGCGGUCUACCAGAACACGUCCGACGGUGAGGGAUGAAAGCUGGGGGAGCAAACCGGAUUAGAGACCCGAGUAGUCC